Non-coding RNA from Pelobates cultripes (western spadefoot toad), 535 nucleotides. Lineage: Eukaryota; Metazoa; Chordata; Amphibia; Anura; Pelobatidae. The record is from the annotation of a GenBank genome assembly.
CCAGGACAAUCUGCUUUAGAUGCAUAAAAUUGGCACACCAUGGCAACCCGCUUUAGAUGCAUAAAAAUGGCACAUCAUGGCAAUCAGCUUUAGAUGCAUACAAUUGGCACACCAUGACAAUCAGCUUUAGAUGCAUAGAACUGGCACACGGUGGCAAUCCGGUUACAAGCAUAAACUAGGCACAUCAUGGCAAUCCGCUUUAGGGGCAUACACUUGGCACACUAUGGAAAUCAGUUUUAGAUGCAUAAAAGUGGCACACCAUGGCAGUUUUAGAGGCAUACAAUUGGCACACCAUGGCAAUCCGCUUUAGAUGCAUACAAUUGGUACACCAUGACAAUCCGCUUUAGAUGCAUACAAUUGGCACACCAUGGCAAUUGGCUUUAGAAGCAUAAACUAGGCACAUCAUGGCAAUCCGCUUUAGGGGCAUACACUUGGCACACUAUGGAAAUCCGUUUUAGAUGCAUAAAAGGGGCACACCAUGGCAGUUUUAGAGGCAUACAAUUGGCACACCAUGGCAAUCCACUUUAGAUGGAUA